UACGGAGGGGGCUAGCGUUGUUCGGAAUCAUUGGGCGUAAAGGGUGCGUAGGCGGCGCGGUAAGUCGGGUGUGAAAUCUCGGGGCUUAACUCCGAAACUGCAUUCGAUACUGCCGUGCUUGAGGACUGGAGAGGAGACUGGAAUUUACGGUGUAGCGGUGAAAUGCGUAGAUAUCGUAAGGAAGACCAGUGGCGAAGGCGGGUCUCUGGACAGUUCCUGACGCUGAGGCACGAAGGCCAGGGGAGCAAACGGG
Molecule: ribosomal RNA, 253 nt
Filed under: uncultured bacterium
Lineage: Bacteria
Description: partial 16S ribosomal RNA
Rfam family: Bacterial small subunit ribosomal RNA
Source: RNAcentral